This 207-nucleotide ribosomal RNA is filed under the name uncultured bacterium. Its description in RNAcentral is "partial 16S ribosomal RNA". It matches the Rfam family "Bacterial small subunit ribosomal RNA", at positions 568 to 774 of the family's 1533-position model. The record is from RNAcentral.
CGUGUAGGCGGUUCGGUAAGUCGGCUGUGAAAGUCCAGGGCUCAACCCUGGGAUGCCGGUCGAAACUGUCGGACUAGAGUUCGGAAGAGGCGAGUGGAAUUCCCGGUGUAGCGGUGAAAUGCGCAGAUAUCGGGAGGAACACCAAUGGCGAAGGCAGCUCGCUGGGACGUUACUGACGCUGAGACGCGAAAGCGUGGGGAGCAAACA